CCUACGGGAGGCAGCAGUGGGGAAUAUUGCACAAUGGGGGAAACCCUGAUGCAGCGACGCCGCGUGAGUGAAGAAGUACUUCGGUACGUAAAGCUCUAUCAGCAGGGAAGAAAAUGACGGUACCUGAUUAAGAAGCCCCGGCUAACUACGUGCCAGCAGCCGCGGUAAUACGUAGGGGGCAAGCGUUAUCCGGAUUUACUGGGUGUAAAGGGAGCGUAGACGGCAGUACAAGUCUGGAGUGAAAGGCCGGGGCUUAACCCCGGAACUGCUCUUGAAACUGUGCAGCUGGAGUGCAGGAGAGGUAAGUGGAAUUCCUGGUGUAGCGGUGAAAUGCGUAGAUAUUAGGAGGAACACCAGUGGCGAAGGCGGCUUGCUGGACUGUAACUGACGUUGAGGCUCGAAAGCGUGGGGAGCAAACAGGAUUAGAUACCCGAGUAGUC
This 440-nucleotide ribosomal RNA is filed under the name uncultured bacterium. Its description in RNAcentral is "partial 16S ribosomal RNA". It matches the Rfam family "Bacterial small subunit ribosomal RNA", at positions 338 to 795 of the family's 1533-position model. The record is from RNAcentral.